GCCUGAUCCAGCAAUGCCGCGUGAGUGAAGAAGGCCUUCGGGUUGUAAAGCUCUUUUGUCAGGGAAGAAACGGGUGAGGCUAAUAUCCUUGCCUAAUGACGGUACCUGAAGAAUAAGCACCGGCUAACUACGUGCCAGCAGCCGCGGUAAUACGUAGGGUGCAAGCGUUAAUCGGAAUUACUGGGCGUAAAGCGUGCGCAGGCGGUUGUGCAAGACAGAUGUGAAAUCCCCGGGCUUAACCUGGGAAUUGCAUUUGUGACUGCACAGCUAGAGUGUGUCAGAGGGGGGUAGAAUUCCACGUGUAGCAGUGAAAUGCGUAGAUAUGUGGAGGAAUACCGAUGGCGAAGGCAGCCCCCUGGGAUAACACUGACGCUCAUGCACGAAAGCGUGGGGAGCAAACAGGAUUAGAUACCCUGGUAGUCCACGCCCUAAACGAUGUCUACUAGUUGUCGGGUCUUAAUUGACUUGGUAACGCAGCUAACGCGUGAAGUAGACCGCCUGGGGAGUACGGUCGCAAGAUUAAAACUCAAAGGAAUUGACGGGGACCCGCACAAGCGGUGGAUGAUGUGGAUUAAUUCGAUGCAACGCGAAAAACCUUACCUACCCUUGACAUGGUCGGAAUCCUGAAGAGAUUU
This 635-nucleotide ribosomal RNA is filed under the name Herbaspirillum sp. Se2Pw_3315. RNAcentral's name for it is "bacterial SSU rRNA". It matches the Rfam family "Bacterial small subunit ribosomal RNA", at positions 381 to 1009 of the family's 1533-position model. Lineage: Bacteria; Pseudomonadati; Pseudomonadota; Betaproteobacteria; Burkholderiales; Oxalobacteraceae. The record is from RNAcentral.